AUACAGCUGAUGAGUUCGAAACAGGGCGAAACGCGCGUUCUGGAU
Schistosoma curassoni is the source of this 45-nucleotide non-coding RNA. Lineage: Eukaryota; Metazoa; Platyhelminthes; Trematoda; Strigeidida; Schistosomatidae. The record is from Rfam.